AGGCAAGGAGAGUAUGAUUUUCUUUUCACUGAAUUGGUAAAAACCAAAUGAUUGAAAUACUCCCUAUUUAUAGGAUUUUUGAAGUUGGGGCAAAAUAGUAAUUUCAAAACUAAAAUUUUUGAAUGAACGAAUAUGAUCAAUUAUUUUUGAAUGAAUGGUCCAGAUCAAAGCAACAUUUUUACGCGGUAAGAGUUAGAAAAAUGCCUAGGCGUUUUUCAACCUUCUGAGUAUUUAUUGCUUGUUUGACUAAUACCAGCCAACACAUGUUUUAAUUUAAGUCCCGAAAUGAUAGUCA
Molecule: long non-coding RNA, 295 nt
Filed under: Panax ginseng (ginseng)
Lineage: Eukaryota; Viridiplantae; Streptophyta; Magnoliopsida; Apiales; Araliaceae
Description: long non-coding RNA (PGIN_LNC000377)
Source: RNAcentral